This 467-nucleotide ribosomal RNA is filed under the name uncultured bacterium. Its description in RNAcentral is "partial 16S ribosomal RNA". It matches the Rfam family "Bacterial small subunit ribosomal RNA", at positions 28 to 507 of the family's 1533-position model. The record is from RNAcentral.
GACGAACGCUGGCGGCGUGCUUAACACAUGCAAGUCGAACGGAAAGGCCCUGCUUUUGUGGGGUGCUCGAGUGGCGAACGGGUGAGUAACACGUGAGUAACCUGCCCUUGACUUUGGGAUAACUUCAGGAAACUGGGGCUAAUACCGGAUAGGAGCUCCUGCUGCAUGGUGGGGGUUGGAAAGUUUCGGCGGUUGGGGAUGGACUCGCGGCUUAUCAGCUUGUUGGUGGGAAGUGGCUUACCAAGGCUUUGACGGGUAGCCGGCCUGAGAGGGUGACCGGCCACAUUGGGACUGAGAUACGGCCCAGACUCCUACGGGAGGCAGCAGUGGGGAAUAUUGCACAAUGGGCGGAAGCCUGAUGCAGCAACGCCGCGUGCGGGAUGACGGCCUUCGGGUUGUAAACCGCUUUCGCCUGUGACGAAGCGUGAGUGACGGUAAUGGGUAAAGAAGCACCGGCUAACUACGUG